GACGAACGCUGGCGGCGUGCCUAAUACAUGCAAGUUGAGCGCUGAAGGUUGGUACUUGUACCAACUGGAUGAGCAGCGAACGGGUGAGUAACGCGUGGGGAAUCUGCCUUUGAGCGGGGGACAACAUUUGGAAACGAAUGCUAAUACCGCAUAAAAACUUUAAACACAAGUUUUAAGUUUGAAAGAUGCAAUUGCAUCACUCAAAGAUGAUCCCGCGUUGUAUUAGCUAGUUGGUGAGGUAAAGGCUCACCAAGGCGAUGAUACAUAGCCGACCUGAGAGGGUGAUCGGCCACAUUGGGACUGAGACACGGCCCAAACUCCUACGGGAGGCAGCAGUAGGGAAUCUUCGGCAAUGGACGAAAGUCUGACCGAGCAACGCCGCGUGAGUGAAGAAGGUUUUCGGAUCGUAAAACUCUGUGGUAGAGAAGAACGUUGGUGAGAGUGGAAAGCUCAUCAAGUGACGGUAACUACCCAGAAAGGGACGGCUAACUACGUG
RNAcentral lists this ribosomal RNA (496 nucleotides) under uncultured bacterium. RNAcentral describes it as "partial 16S ribosomal RNA". It matches the Rfam family "Bacterial small subunit ribosomal RNA", at positions 28 to 507 of the family's 1533-position model. The record is from RNAcentral.